Molecule: ribosomal RNA, 393 nt
Filed under: uncultured bacterium
Lineage: Bacteria
Description: partial 16S ribosomal RNA
Rfam family: Bacterial small subunit ribosomal RNA
Source: RNAcentral
AUACGGAGGAUGCAAGCGUUAUCCGGAUUUAUUGGGUUUAAAGGGUGCGUAGGCGGUUUGCUAAGCGGGAGGUGAAAUGCCGGCGCUCAACGUCGGAAGUGCCUCCCGAACUGGGGGACUGGAAUGACUCUGCCGUGGGAGGAAUGUGUAGGGUAGCGGUGAAAUGCUUAGAGAUUACACAGAACACCGAUUGCGAAGGCAUCUCACGAAGGGUUGAUUGACGCUGAGGCACGAAAGCGUGGGGAUCAAACAGGAUUAGAUACCCUGGUAGUCCACGCAGUAAACGAUGAUGGCUAACCGCUGGUUUAUUCGGAUCAGUGGCCAAGCGAAAGCGAUAAGCCAUCCACCUGGGGAGUACGACCGCAAGGUUGAAACUCAAAUGAAUUGACGGGG